RNAcentral lists this ribosomal RNA (364 nucleotides) under uncultured bacterium. Its description in RNAcentral is "bacterial SSU rRNA". It matches the Rfam family "Bacterial small subunit ribosomal RNA", at positions 29 to 419 of the family's 1533-position model. The record is from RNAcentral.
AGCGAACGCUGGCGGCAGGCCUAAUACAUGCAAGUCGAACGGAUCCUUCGGGAUUAGUGGCGGACGGGUGAGUAACACGUGGGAACGUGCCUUUUGGUUCGGAACAACUCAGGGAAACUUGAGCUAAUACCGGAUGUGCCCUUCGGGGAAGGAUUAUCGCCAUUAGAGCGGCCCGCCGUCUGAUUAGCUAGUUGGUAGGGUAAAGGACCUACCAAGGCUACGAUCAGUAGCUGGUCUGAGAGGAUGAUCAGCCACACUGGGACGUGAGACACGGCCCAGACUCCUACGGGAGGCAGCAGUAGGGAAUCUUGCGCAAUGGGCGAAAGCCUGACGCAGCCAUGCCGCGUGAAUGAUGAAGGUCUUA